Molecule: long non-coding RNA, 150 nt
Organism: Helianthus annuus (common sunflower)
Lineage: Eukaryota; Viridiplantae; Streptophyta; Magnoliopsida; Asterales; Asteraceae
Exons: 2
Source: RefSeq, a predicted model, not a curated record
GGUUCUCCAUGGUGAUCGACAGAAGUUUGUUGCAGAUAUGGUUGUCAUAUUCUUAAUUUCUUAUAGCAAAAUAUGUCAUCAGUUAGUCGUAUGUAAUUAUCAUGUAGCAGUUAAUAAUUAGUUAAUUAUUUAGUGAUUUAAAAUUCAUGA